CGAGGCAUCACAAGUGAAGUGGAUGGACCUUUUUUGCUCGGCAUCAUUGCCGAGUAUUGAAAAUCUCACAUAAAAAAGGAGCAAAUAGGCCCUGACCAAAGAAAUAACCAAGUUCUUUUUUUUUCCUUCUUUAUUUUUUUUAAAAAAAGAAAGCACACAUUACUAUAAAGAGGGAGAAAAACCACCUUUCAGAAGAACCUGUCACUGGAUGUCACCAAAGUUCCAUGAAUUUGCAGGCAAAACAGCACUAUUUUAUCAAUAAAACUCAAGAGUCUUAAAAAAGCUCCGGGACGUCAGCUCUUCAGCUCUCAUUGGAGAGACAGGCUUUGAAGUUACUGUCCAAGCUGGCUUUCUUCUUUUAAACUCAACAUUAUUGCAAACUCAGUAGAU
Molecule: long non-coding RNA, 390 nt
Organism: Lepidothrix coronata (blue-crowned manakin)
Lineage: Eukaryota; Metazoa; Chordata; Aves; Passeriformes; Pipridae
Exons: 3
Source: RefSeq, a predicted model, not a curated record